UGURAGAGUUGAAUCCUGMUCAGGAUGRACGCUGGCGGCGUGCCUAAUACAUSCAAGUCGAGCGAACAGAUGAGAAGCUUGCUUMUCUGAUGUUAGCGGCGGACGGGUGAGUAACACGUGGGUAACCUACCUAUAAGACUGGGAUAACUCCGGGAAACCGGGGCUAAUACCGGAUAAUAUUUUGAACCGCAUGGUUCAAUAGUGAAAGACGGUUUCGGCUGUCACUUAUAGAUGGACCCGCGCCGUAUUAGCUAGUUGGUAAGGUAAUGGCUUACCAAGGCGACGAUACGUAGCCGACCUGAGAGGGUGAUCGGCCACACUGGAACUGAGACACGGUCCAGACUCCUACGGGAGGCAGCAGUAGGGAAUCUUCCGCAAUGGGCGAAAGCCUGACGGAGCAACGCCGCGUGAGUGAUGAAGGUCUUCGGAUCGUAAAACUCUGUUGUUAGGGAAGAACAAAUUUGUUAGUAACUGAACAAGUCUUGACGGUACCUAACCAGAAAGCCACGGCUAACUACGUGCCAGCAGCCGCGGUAAUACGUAGGUGGCAAGCGUUAUCCGGAAUUAUUGGGCGUAAAGCGCGCGUAGGCGGUUUCUUAAGUCUGAUGUGAAAGCCCACGGCUCAACCGUGGAGGGUCAUUGGAAACUGGGAAACUUGAGUGCAGAAGAGGAGAGUGGAAUUCCAUGUGUAGCGGUGAAAUGCGCAGAGAUAUGGAGGAACACCAGUGGCGAAGGCGGCUCUCUGGUCUGUAACUGACCGCUGAUGUGCGAAAGCGUGGGGAUCAAACAGGAUUAGAUACCCUGGUAGUCCACGCCGUAAACGAUGAGUGCUAAGUGUUAGGGGGUUUCCGCCCCUUAGUGCUGCAGCUAACGCAUUAAGCACUCCGCCUGGGGAGUACGACCGCAAGGUUGAAACUCAAAGGAAUUGACGGGGACCCGCACAAGCGGUGGAGCAUGUGGUUUAAUUCGAAGCAACGCGAAGAACCUUACCAAAUCUUGACAUCCUUUGACCGCUCUAGAGAUAGAGUCUUCCCCUUCGGGGGACAAAGUGACAGGUGGUGCAUGGUUGUCGUCAGCUCGUGUCGUGAGAUGUUGGGUUAAGUCCCGCAACGAGCGCAACCCUUAAGCUUAGUUGCCAUCAUUAAGUUGGGCACUCUAGGUUGACUGCCGGUGACAAACCGGAGGAAGGUGGGGAUGACGUCAAAUCAUCAUGCCCCUUAUGAUUUGGGCUACACACGUGCUACAAUGGAUAAUACAAAGGGCAGCGAAUCCGCGAGGCCAAGCAAAUCCCAUAAAAUUAUUCUCAGUUCGGAUUGUAGUCUGCAACUCGACUACAUGAAGCUGGAAUCGCUAGUAAUCGUAGAUCAGGCAU
Molecule: ribosomal RNA, 1372 nt
Filed under: uncultured Bacillus sp.
Lineage: Bacteria; Bacillati; Bacillota; Bacilli; Caryophanales; Bacillaceae
Description: bacterial SSU rRNA
Rfam family: Bacterial small subunit ribosomal RNA
Source: RNAcentral